UCAGAGUUGGGCACAGCACUCCAAAAGGAAGAUUUUUUUAUUAAAAUGUUUUACUUGCACUAGCACCUGCGGAGGGAAUCCACUGCUGACGUAAAGAGAGACCAUCGAAAAGAAAGGAACUUUCUACAACUGUUUUUGUGAUUUAGCAUUUUACUGACAACUUUCAAAUUCAGAAUAGUUUGACCAAGUCCACAACUGGCUGAGCUGCAGAGAUUAGAAAAGAAGAAAGACCUACACAAUUGUACAUUCUUUUUUCCCAGUCAAACUUUGGUAAAGUUUCAGCUGCCGCUAGGAAGCUGUGUUUUCCAUCUGGAAGCUCUGCAGGUGAGAUAAGUUUCUGAGGGCACAACAAUCCUGCCUUCCUGUGAGCUAGGGAGGAAUGUAGAUCCGUGUUGGAGUGCAAAGUCCAUUCCUAUGGAGUGUAACACACCUGCCUGAGGUAUUCCGUUCGCAGCUAAACCUGCAGACGUGGCCCCUUUCCUGCUCUCAGAGAGCGUAUUUGAGUAAGGUUAAUGCUCAGAUAAGCAGACAUUUCCUCUUAUACAUAUUUGCUUUCUGUGGGGUGUGUGGCACUGCAUUUCCUUUAAAACAGCGGUCUCAAAACUCCCUCUUCUUUGGAUCACUCUAAGCUCACUCGACAGCACUGCUCAGAGACUACUUUGACUCAGAAUAAGAGUUUUUCAGAUUCCAUGCAAAAUCUUUAUUCCGCUGAGUAUUUUACAUAUCUGAAGUACAUGCCCGGGGAGGAGAGGGGAAGCUCUCACUUCUGGCAUGUGAAAAUGUGUGGCUUUGCUGAGGGCAGCGAGAGUGCUUGAAAUCACUUUGCAGCCCUGUAACAUUCAGAAGUGUCCCGCAGUUUCUGGCUAACCAGAGCUGUGCUUUGUCCUGGCCUGAAUAUUGCACAGCUGCCAGCUGGAAAUCUCCUCCCGAUACAGCUCUUCAGCGGCUCACCAGGUCCCAGCUGGCAGUGCCUAAUUGCAAUCAGCAGGUGAGAAAGGCAGCAUCUUGGCAGCUGAAUUGGCUCCAGCUCUGGGACACCUUUUGGGAAAUGGAGGGAACCUGGAAAAAGAAAGGGAGAAGACUUAAAACUGGACUUCUGUGAAAAGCAUUAACUGAGAAAGACAGCAAGACACAGGACAAAUCACACUUGCUUUUACUGGAAGUUAUAAUGGAACAAUUCAGAAUUAAGAGACAGGAAUCUUCGAGCGCUCACCUCUAGUGGCUUUGAGAUGCAAUCUAAUAUUGCUUGAUGACUUUGCAGCAUGGCUUUUCUUUGCAAGAUUGUGAGCAUCCUUUGUGAGCUCAGA
RNAcentral lists this long non-coding RNA (1307 nucleotides) under Numida meleagris (helmeted guineafowl). Its description in RNAcentral is "lncRNA (ENSNMEG00000018313.1)". Lineage: Eukaryota; Metazoa; Chordata; Aves; Galliformes; Numididae. The record is from RNAcentral.